Arachis ipaensis is the source of this 890-nucleotide long non-coding RNA. RefSeq lists it as uncharacterized. The record is from RefSeq and is a predicted model, not a curated record. NCBI's taxonomy places the organism in Eukaryota, Viridiplantae, Streptophyta, Magnoliopsida, Fabales, Fabaceae.
AUCAACACAAGAAGUAACAAUCUUCCUUUAACAGAUUUACUGAAUAUUGCAUACUGAAAAUUUGCUACAACGGCAACUACGGCACAGACAUUGUCAACCAUGGCAGUUGGUGCCGAAAACAUGGGUAAUGUUAAAAGGCAGUUGGUACAGCUGUUUGAGGUAUCUCUACGAGCAACCGUACCUAGCGAGACAGAUGUAGCACCAUUAGUUGAUGCUUGCAUUACAAAAUCUGGUGUAAGAUUUGGCGAUUACUAAUGUAAUAAUGCAAUGGGUUUAUGGUCUAAGAUAAAAGGAAAGCAGACAGAGUUUAGGGAUCCUACUGCUGUUGGGCAGGCCAUAAUGAAGAAUCUUCCCCCUUCUGAUAUGCCUUAGUCAUACUAAUAACCAAAUUGACGUUUAUGGCACAUUUGAGGGUUCUUGGUUUUGGUGAUUGCUGCUUUGGGGAAUGAGAUCACUGAGUUGAAAACCCUGCCAGAGGACACAACAUCUUUGGAGGAAAAGAAGGUUGGAGUAAAGGGGCUGGGGGAAGAAGAAAACGGACUAGUCAGAGCACUUUGUUUGGAAGGAUGACAUGAAACAGUGAGUAUGCUGUUUAUGUUCCUAAGCAGGUGAGAAUAUGCUACUUAGUGGGAGUCAAGUAUAGGAGAAGGGAGCAGUGAUGGACACCGCAGAGUGAAAACACCAGCAUUUUGUGAUGGUGAAAUUAAGGACCAUGUGUUUUGGCCGAAGCUCCUUCAAGUUUAGAAAGAAGUUUGGAACCAUUUGGUUAGCAUUGAAUAUUUGUUCUCUUGUGUGAUUGGUAAAAUAUUUGUAUCACUUUUUUUUUUCUUAUAUAUAUUUAUAUGGAAUGUUGUAGAGUUUAAAUGCUAUAAGUAUUUUUUUUUAUUAUU